UUUGUCUUUUAGCAAAAUUGCAGUUACUUCUAUAGCUCCUAUUUUGAGUUUUUUAGCUUUAAACUUACAUUUGUAAAAUGUUAGCCAUAGAUGUGAUUCUUUGUUGCUGUUUGGUAAAAAUGGGUUUCUGAUUGCUGUCUCAUUGUAUUGUGAUGGGAUGUACUGAUGAAUGAAAAAAGAGAGAAAAAGGGAAUUGAUUUUUCUUCAUAUGUCCUAAGUAGGACUCCUCAAUCAACAGUGCCAUCUAUGGAAUAGUCAUUUAAAUAUACAUUUAGUGUGUAAGUCAAAAUCCCAAGCCUAAGGCAUAGCAUAUCUAAUAAGCAAACCCUAAAGAUCUGCUGUAAACCAUUUCUUUCCAGCUACAUCUUAAUUGUGCUGUAAUGGAAGCAUUAACGUCUAGCUUAGAGAAAAGAUUGAGUAGCCUAUUCGCAUUCACAUUAUACAAAAGUUGAGCAGGACAGAUUAGGUAAAAUUAUAAAAGUUGAGUUUUAUAUAUAUAUAUUUGUUUUAUUUUUUAAAUCUCAAUAAAAGGUACUACAACUAACCUCUGAAUAUUCUGUUGCCCAAACAUAUGUUAUGUUCUCAGACAAACUGAAGAGGUUACCCUUAUCAUAUACCUCAUCCCAGCGUAGACCUAGGCUGAGUCCUAUGCCUGAUAUGUGGUAAGUGCUUAGUAAAAUCUUGUAAUAUUGAAUAUUUGAUGACUGUAAAGAAAAAUAAAGGCCAUGCAUGGUGGAUAUAUGACUGACAAACAGCUGUCGUGGAAGAACCAUGAAGUGCCCAGGUUGCCAAAAACCAAGUCUACUGGAAUAAAAGGAAAUAGUUGUCUGGUAGCUCCUAGUCAGAGAGCUGAUAUGCACUGCUCACUUCACAACAUGGCAGAUUUAGUGCUGCACCACUAAAUCAUUGCUCUACUCGGCUUCUGCUAGAAGUGUCAGAGAUAGGCUGAUCUGAUUCCUUCUAUAGAAGAAAAAAGAAUGUGAGCAUCAGUUCCUUCACAAGUUUGCAGUGAACUGCUAAACUAUGAAGAUUUCACCCUUAAUACACAGAGAAAAAUUUGCUAUAGUUUUCUUUUUUUUUAAGGUUGCCAUCAUAGCCUGAAGGACUGAUCUCCAAGUAGUGAUCAAGUGGGCAAGGAAAAGUGAAGUUAAGACACUUCAGACUGAUGAUUUGAGUUGGCUUGAGAGUGAAUAUUUGAAAAAGUAGCUACUAGGAACUUUAUUCUUUCUACCUUUUGAGAAACUCAGUAUUAUUGUGUAAAGUAGUUCUCUAAAGUAAAAUAAAGACUAUAGAGGUAUGCUUUAGGGAUAUGGAAUCAAAUCAGAGAGGACAAAGCUAUGCUUCUAGGUACUUCUACUUGCUUCUUUUGAGAGUGUUUGACAGUUAAUCCAUUUGAUUAAUUUGUUCACUGCAACCUAUGAGCCCAAGUGGAGACCCACAUCUACCUCUUAUUGCUUCCAAAUCUGUAAUGAACACAACCUGUAAGAUAAAUGGUCCAUUUGCCAUAGAACUGAAUACAAAACUUAAAGUUCAUGGUUAGCUUGAAGUUCUUCAAUAUUAGCAUUUUAUCAUCUUGCUCCCACUCUUUCCUCCCCACAUGAUCUUCAGCUCUGUUCAAAGCAUUAAAAAAAUCUCUAAAUGAUUUUUUAAAAAGCUGCUAAAUCUUCAUCUGAAAUUGAUCCACAAUUAUCUUCAAGCAGGAGACUCCUUUCUGAGGGUACUUACAGACUAGGAGUGGGUUUCUGAGAGGAUGAUUUUCAGUACAAUGAAAUGGAAUCUUUCUCUUGCAUUUUUUAGGAUCCACAUGCAGUAGUGGUAACAUUAAAAUAAAGAUUCAUUUGAUCAUAUGAAAAAGAUGACUCUUCCCAUCAGAAUUUAUGCUGCCUUUUUUAGCCAUCUUUACAAAGGCCGUGUCUACCAGCUUAAUCCCUGACAUGUGAAGACUGUCCAUUGACAGUCAUCCAGAUGACCUGUGUUGCAGUGUUGUGCUGUUCAGGAAUUUAGUGCCAGCCAACGCAAUGACUGCUUGAGCAGUGUAGUUUUGAUUUGCACAGUAGUAGUGCUAUUUUUAUUCUCCCUCUGGGGGGAAUGUUGGAGGCUGGCUCUUUAAACAUAACCAGUUUAGAAUGAAGCAGCCAUAUGGCUGAUUACAGUGAUGCUUUUCAUUUUAGUUCAGUUUUGAUUAAAUUAGAAUCUGAUACUGUAAGUACUCUCUCAUAUAACAACAGAACAAAGGUUGGGCAUCUCAAUUUUGGUAUCAUGUUUGUAAAUAAAUGUUGAAAUUCUAAAGGUAAUGUGAAGGAUCAAGCAUUAUGUACAUUUUUAAAUUCUUGAUAUUUAAAAUAACUUUUCAUAUUUACAUAACGCCUUACUUCAGUACUUAAAUUUUUCAUAUAUACAUAAUGUCUUAAUGGACUGUUUACUUCGAAGUACUUUAAAGUUUAGUGAGAAAUUGAGGAAGAGAAAUGAACAUAUAAAAAUAUUUCUUUAGAAAGGAAGUUAUAAGACAGUUUACCAAAUGCAAGUAAAACUGGAAUUAAGCAGUAUGUAUACCUAGAGGUCAGUUCACAUUAAUAAUAAACAUUAAAUAAACAGAUUCUUUCGUUACAUAAAAGAGCUGAUUUUCACUAUCCUUUUUCCUUAAGAACUAAUGUUGUCUUUUGUAGUAAUUUAUCAUCUUUUCUUUGAUAGUGACUUCUUAUAAAAGAUGUAGAAAUCAGAAUAGAAGGGGGAAAUCAAAGGAAUAUGAGAUCUGUGCACAUUACUGCAAUUAUUUGUAAUUUGUUCAGAUAUUCUUCUAUGAAGCUUACAAAUCUUUUUCUAAAUUGUGAAUGCCAGAAUAAAGUGCAUCAACUUGCUACAGUAAGUUUUAGAUAGAAAAAGUUGAUAUUAUUAAUUUUAAAUUUUUAUUGAGAAGUUGCCUUUUGAAAGGCAUUGCACUAUGUCCAAAUCUUGAAAUACAAACAUUAUACUAUUUUUGUGAGUGCCAUGAUAUCACAAUAUUGUACCCAUAGGUCAUUUUUAGACAUCGAACAUAAUUUAAUUUUUAAUUAAUAUUUUUGUAUGAAGCAGUAAGAAAUUAUGAGAGGUUUUUAUUAUGGAGAAGUUUUUGGAGAGAUUUCAGUUAUGUUGAGAAACUUUUUUCCUAAAAGCUGUUCUGUAACUUUGGUUCCCAGGUGUCAGAUUUGUCCAUUUUGUUUGACAUUGAAGUGUACUUAAGGAACCUGUAGAGAAUGGUAACCUUGACCCUCCUUGGGAAGCUCUAGUCUGUUAGUCAACCAGUUAGUCUGUAAGUCAGUCACUCACCGGUCAGUCAGUUAGGCAGUGAAUUUACAGUUACUUGUUACAAGGUAGAAAAUUUUGGAACCUAAAAGAGAGUGCAGACUUUCUCAUCACUGCAAGCACCAUGAUUCAGUCCUCCAUCUAGGCUGAUAUAUGGGAGAGCAGGGAGAUAAAGAAUUACUUGAUGACUGAGAAGCUUUAAUCGGGGGAUAAAAUUCUGACCCAUAAUCUGCUUGAUUUAAGUAAGUAAAUUGAAAGACUGCUCUUAUUAUAUCCACACUAUUUUGGAAUACAUCAUGAUAUUAGGCAAAAAUAGUGGGCUAUUGUAUAUAUAACACUAGGGCUAAAACUUAGUUUAAUCACUAAUUCAUGUCAUGAUUUUUAUCAAAUCUAGUUGUUGGUCCAUAGCCUUUUUAAUUAGAUUAUUGGGCAAAUAAUUCCUGUGCCUUAUAAUUCUAGAAUUCUAUAAUAUUUUCUUUAUUUGUAUUAAUCUAUAGAAUAGUAAUUGUCAACAAUUAAGGACAGCUUUCUGGUCUACUUGAGGUUGUUUCUUUGUACCAUCUCAAGCUGAUAUGUAUAUCCUUUCAUUUUGUUAGAGUCAACUUUACAAACUGUUUUAGUGAUAUCCAUCAAAUAGAUCAUUAAGUUCAGUGGAUGGUGGUAUAGAAUUGGGUAUGACUUGCUACAAAUAUAAAGUAACAGAAUAUUAUUAAUCCAGUGCCAAAGAAAGAUAAUUUCCUUAAGAAGGUGAUAUUAGGCCUGUCAUAUUAAGAUAGUAAACUGUUACUGAAACAACAGCACAAUGCUAACUGAAAAUGUGCAUGGUAGAAUAAUUGUGAAUGGUUUCUAGAUACUGAGACAUCUUGUUAUACUACAGUAAUGACUGCAUUAUAAUUAUAAUCGCCUUUCAAAAUGUUACUUUGGGUCUUUUAAACUUUUCCAGUGUGCUACCACAUAAUUCUGGCAUUCAUAGGGGGUUUACAAAUAUAAGAAUUUUAAGAUUUUCUUUAAAAAGUUGAUAAUUGAGCUGAUCCACAGUAAAUUCAACACAAGUUAGAUGGAACCGUCUGAAUCCAGUAUUAAAAUUAAAAAAGCAUAUCUAGAGACAGACCACUUUAGUCCUCUAUGACUUAAUGCAGGAUGCUUUUCUGAAUUUACUCUAAAUAGGAAUUGUAUAAAAAGGAAGGCAUGUGUCUACCUUUUGUUUUGAUAAUUAACUCUGAGGAGUGUACAUUCCAAGUUGAUCGGCUGAAUAAACAUUCAACUUGCAGUCAUAUUCAAAUUUUGAGAUUGUUUUCUUGAUAAUAUUUUCCAAUUUACGAAUUUCUUAAAAACAAUCAGAUUUUUUUUUUAACUUGGAAGGAUAAUAAUAUGUAUGAAAAAAAUACCUUGGC
Molecule: long non-coding RNA, 4676 nt
Filed under: Sus scrofa (pig)
Lineage: Eukaryota; Metazoa; Chordata; Mammalia; Artiodactyla; Suidae
Description: lncRNA (ENSSSCG00000062833.1)
Source: RNAcentral